RNAcentral lists this ribosomal RNA (444 nucleotides) under uncultured bacterium. RNAcentral's name for it is "partial 16S ribosomal RNA". It matches the Rfam family "Bacterial small subunit ribosomal RNA", at positions 354 to 796 of the family's 1533-position model. The record is from RNAcentral.
GUGAGGAAUAUUGGUCAAUGGGCGGGAGCCUGAACCAGCCAAGUCGCGUGAAGGAAGAAGGAUCUAUGGUUCGUAAACUUCUUUUGCAGGGGAAUAAAGUGCAGGACGUGUCCUGUUUUGUAUGUACCCUGAGAAUAAGGAUCGGCUAACUCCGUGCCAGCAGCCGCGGUAAUACGGAGGAUCCGAGCGUUAUCCGGAUUUAUUGGGUUUAAAGGGUGCGUAGGUGGUUUGAUAAGUCAGCGGUGAAAGUUUGCAGCUUAACUGUAAAAAUGCCGUUGAAACUGUCGGACUUGAGUGUAAAUGAGGUAGGCGGAAUGCGUGGUGUAGCGGUGAAAUGCAUAGAUAUCACGCAGAACUCCGAUUGCGAAGGCAGCUUACUAAGCUACAACUGACACUGAAGCACGAAAGCGUGGGGAUCAAACAGGAUUAGAUACCCGGGUGUCC